RNAcentral lists this ribosomal RNA (279 nucleotides) under uncultured bacterium. Its description in RNAcentral is "partial 16S ribosomal RNA". It matches the Rfam family "Bacterial small subunit ribosomal RNA", at positions 506 to 784 of the family's 1533-position model. The record is from RNAcentral.
UGCCAGCCGCCGCGGUAAUACGUAGGGUGCAAGCGUUGUCCGGAUUUAUUGGGUUUAAAGGGUGCGCAGGCGGUCUGAUAAGUUAGUGGUGAAAUCGUCCCGCUCAACGGGAUACCCGCCAUUGAUACUGUCGGACUUGAGUGUGUGUAAGGGAGUUGGAAUGCGUGGUGUAGCGGUGAAAUGCAUAGAUAUCACGCAGAACGCCGAUUGCGAAGGCAGACUUCUGGCACACAACUGACGCUGAGGCACGAAAGCGUGGGGAGCGAACAGGAUUAGAUA